CUUGUGUAACAAAAUGUUUAUUCUCAUUGAAUAUCAAUCCAAUCAUACAAGAUUAUAAAUGAGUAUACAGCACAUGAAAAUAUUGUGCAACAUGUAUUAUUUUGUAAAAUGUAAUUUAACAACAUAAAAUCUUGGGCUACAACAUAGAGAACAUGGGACAUUAAAAACAAUUGUUGCACUUUACAAAACAAGUGCAGACGUUAAAUGUGUCCAUCCAAUUUAUAAAAAAUUAAGCCUUUAAAUUAGUUUACAGAUCUAAAGUUCCUUCUUCACAAUAAAAGGACAUACUGCAGAUUAUUUAUUUUCAAAAUGAGAAAAAUACAGCCCACCCCCAAAACAAACAAAAAACAACUAAACAAAGUUAAAGAAAAAAAAAAGCUCCCCCCAAAAAAAUAUACACCUCACAUAACAAAUAGAAGAGCAUCAAAAGUAUAAUUAAGUGAUCUUUUCGACAAAAUAUCAGAGUUAAAUUUUUUUUUAAAUUUCAAAAAAAAUUAGAAUCUGUGAAUUAAUUCAAAGGCUAAUCAAACAUACAUUCUCAUGUGAAUAAAAAUCACUUUUACAGAAUUGAUUAUUUGCCAACACUGGAAUUGAUCCUGUGAUUAGAGUUCAGAUCGCACAUGUUAUUUCCCAUAGAAUGGUGGUAAAUUUUUAUUGCCAAUAAAAAGCAAGCGGAAAGCACAAAUUUAUCUGUGCAUAAUUCGUGUAAAUUGUAAGUUUUUCAAAGAUUAAAUAACAUUAAAUCUUUUAUCUAAGUAAAUACUGGGUAUGACAUGAAUAGUUAUUUUCGUAUGCAAAUUGGAUAAAACACCUAUUACUUUCAACUCAUUGUGCUUUGCAUGGGCAGCAACCAAGUUGGUCCAGUUUGGAACCAGAUUACAAUUGGCCAAGGGAGACAACUUCAGAUAACUUUGUGUAAUAACAGAAUCAAAUUGGUAAUUGGCAAAUAGACCUUUUGCUAGAUAUACAUCUGCUCCUUAUAAUCAAUGAAUCAAGUAAAAUUUCAAAUACUGAACAUAUAAUGCAUCAACAAAACUAAUGAUUGAAAUUCGUUUCCGAAGUAUCAAAGAAUACUGUAUGCACAAAAUUAUCAUGGGCCUCACAUAAAAUGUUUUGGUCAAUCAUAAUGAGAUUUUACUUUCAAAUUGAUAAAAAUAAAUAAAACUUUCAAAUAUACAGCUAGUUAAAUAAUAAUGAAGAAAAAAAUAAAUAUACCAUUAUUUAUAUAUAGGCAACAUUGACAUAAAAUAAAAGCACCUAGCAACGAAAAAUACAAAAACAAAACCAGCAAAACAAGAAAUAGCACAAAAAUAUAUAUUAAUAUUAAAGAUGUGAGAGAAAGAAAAAAAAGAAGAAAUGAAAAAAAUUAAUGGUCGCUUCGUUUGGAUUUCAGUUAAAAGGAAUUAUAUUUAUAUGAAAUGGGCAUGGAUGCAUUAAAUGUACAAUUCUAUAAAUAGUAAAAUGUUGAAUGUACAAAACAAUGUACAUGUUUUAAAAGUACACAAAACACUUGAUUUUUACAAUAAAUUGUUGGACAUUACAACUUUCAACAAAUAUAUAUAUAUACAUUUAGAUAUGGACAGUAAAAGAUUUGAUCAAAAUUGCAUAUUUGUGAAAUCAACAGUUUAUAUUAUCUCUAACAAAUUUACCAAGUUGCCUCUUAUAAAUAUUCUUUUCUUGGAUCAUUACAGAAAAAAGAAAAAAAGUAUUGUAGAUUUUGCCCUUACUAUUAUUAAAUUAUUGCAAUCAUGAUGAAUUUGUUUACAACAACUUGGUACUUUUGUUAUAUAAAUAAAUAUAAUAAUAAAAAUAUCACAUUUAAUAGGGAACAUCUCAAAAGUUUUUCAUGAAGUUUUAACAUUGAUAUGUAUGAUUUUAUUUGUGUCCUUUGAUGAAGUUUCCAAUGAAAUUUUUAAAAUAAAUCUGAGAAGGGAGACAACUUCUAAUUUUUGUUGA
RNAcentral lists this long non-coding RNA (1956 nucleotides) under Mytilus galloprovincialis (Mediterranean mussel). The record is from RNAcentral. Lineage: Eukaryota; Metazoa; Mollusca; Bivalvia; Mytilida; Mytilidae.